Molecule: ribosomal RNA, 253 nt
Filed under: uncultured bacterium
Lineage: Bacteria
Description: partial 16S ribosomal RNA
Rfam family: Bacterial small subunit ribosomal RNA
Source: RNAcentral
UACGUAGGGCGCAAGCGUUGUCCGGAAUUAUUGGGCGUAAAGAGCUCGUAGGCGGUCUGUCGCGUCUGCUGUGAAAACUCGGGGCUUAACUCCGGGCCUGCAGUGGGUACGGGCAGACUAGAGUGCGGUAGGGGAGACUGGAAUUCCUGGUGUAGCGGUGAAAUGCGCAGAUAUCAGGAGGAACACCGGUGGCGAAGGCGGGUCUCUGGGCCGAUACUGACGCUGAGGAGCGAAAGCGUGGGGAGCGAACAGG